Molecule: ribosomal RNA, 459 nt
Filed under: uncultured bacterium
Lineage: Bacteria
Description: partial 16S ribosomal RNA
Rfam family: Bacterial small subunit ribosomal RNA
Source: RNAcentral
CCUACGGGUGGCAGCAGUGAGGAAUAUUGGUCAAUGGGCGGAAGCCUGAACCAGCCAAGUCGCGUGAGGGAUUAAGGCCCUGCGGGUCGUAAACCUCUUUUGCCGGGGAGCAGUGCUCCGUACGCGUCCGGACCUGGAGAGUCCCCGCAGAAAAAGCAUCGCCUAACUCCUGGCCAGCAGCCGCGGUAAUACGGAGGAUGCGAGCGUUAUCCGGUUUUAUUGGGUUAAAAGGGUGCAUAGGCGGGCAUUUAAGCCGGCGGAAAAAUGUCGGGGCUAAACCCCGGCCUGCCGUCGGAACUGGGGCCUUGAGUGGGCGAGAAGUAGGCGGAAUGCGUGGUGUAGCGGUGAAAUGCAUAGAGAUCACGCAGAACCCCGAUUGCGAAGGCAGCAUACCGGCGCCCGACUGACGCUGAGGCACGAAAGUGCGGGGAUCGAACAGGAUUAGAUACCCUUGUAGUC